RNAcentral lists this non-coding RNA (26 nucleotides) under Rattus norvegicus (Norway rat). The record is from RNAcentral. Lineage: Eukaryota; Metazoa; Chordata; Mammalia; Rodentia; Muridae.
UGAGGGUCCUGGUCAGUUUACGGCUU